GACGAACGCUGGCGGCGUGCUUAACACAUGCAAGUCGAACGGUGAACGAGGGAGCUUGCUCCCUCCGGAUCAGUGGCGAACGGGUGAGUAACACGUGAGCAAUCUGCCCCGAACUCUGGGAUAAGCGUUGGAAACGACGUCUAAUACCGGAUACGACGCGGGAGGGCAUCCUCUCCGCGUGGAAAGAACUUCGGUUCGGGAUGAGCUCGCGGCCUAUCAGCUUGUUGGUGAGGUAACGGCUCACCAAGGCGACGACGGGUAGCCGGCCUGAGAGGGUGACCGGCCACACUGGGACUGAGACACGGCCCAGACUCCUACGGGAGGCAGCAGUGGGGAAUAUUGCACAAUGGGCGCAAGCCUGAUGCAGCAACGCUGCGUGAGGGACGACGGCCUUCGGGUUGUAAACCUCUUUUAGCAGGGAAGAAGCGAAAGUGACGGUACCUGCAGAAAAAGCACCGGCUAACUACGUG
RNAcentral lists this ribosomal RNA (470 nucleotides) under uncultured bacterium. RNAcentral's name for it is "partial 16S ribosomal RNA". It matches the Rfam family "Bacterial small subunit ribosomal RNA", at positions 28 to 507 of the family's 1533-position model. The record is from RNAcentral.